RNAcentral lists this ribosomal RNA (398 nucleotides) under uncultured bacterium. Its description in RNAcentral is "bacterial SSU rRNA". It matches the Rfam family "Bacterial small subunit ribosomal RNA", at positions 29 to 419 of the family's 1533-position model. The record is from RNAcentral.
AACGAACGCUGGCGGCGCGCCUAACACAUGCAAGUCGAGCGAGAAGACGUAGCAAUACGUUUGUAAAGCGGCGAACGGGUGAGGAAUACAUGGGUAACCUACCCUCGAGUGGGGAAUAACUAGCCGAAAGGUUAGCUAAUACCGCGUACGCUCCUUGGACUUCGGUUCAGGGAGGAAAGCGAUACCGUGGGUAUCGCGCUCUUGGAUGGGGCUCAUGUCCUAUCAGCUUGUUGGUGAGGAACGGCUCACCAAGGCUUCGACGGGUAGCUGGUCUGAGAGGACGAUCAGCCACACUGGCACUGCGACACGGGCCAGACUCCUACGGGAGCAGCAGUAAGGAUAUUGCGCAAUGGGCGAAAGCCUGACGCAGCGACGCCGCGUGGGGGAUGAAGGUCUUC